GCUUGCUGGACCGCCGAAAAUCUGAUUCGUAAUCAGUAGGUCACCAGUUCGAUUCCGGUCAGCAGCACCA
This 70-nucleotide transfer RNA is filed under the name Aromatoleum sp. RNAcentral describes it as "tRNA-Thr". Lineage: Bacteria; Pseudomonadati; Pseudomonadota; Betaproteobacteria; Rhodocyclales; Rhodocyclaceae. The record is from RNAcentral.